Molecule: ribosomal RNA, 478 nt
Filed under: uncultured bacterium
Lineage: Bacteria
Description: partial 16S ribosomal RNA
Rfam family: Bacterial small subunit ribosomal RNA
Source: RNAcentral
GAUGAACGCUGGCGGCGUGCUUAACACAUGCAAGUCGAACGAGAAGUGAAGACGGAAACCUUCGGGCGGAAGGCUUUAUUUCGAGUGGCGGCCGGGUGAGUAACGCGUGGGUAACCUGCCUCAUACAGGGGGAUAACAGUUUGAAACGACUGUUAAUACCGCAUAAGACCACAGCACCGCAUGGUGCGGGGGUAAAAACUCCGGUGGUAUGAGAUGGACCCGCGUUCGAUUAGCCAGUUGGCGGGGUAACGGCCCACCAAAGCGACGAUCGAUAGCCGAUCUGAGAGGAUGACCGGCCACAGUGGGACUGAGACACGGCCCAAACUCCUACGGGAGGCAGCAGUGGGGAAUAUUGCACAAUGGGGGAAACCCUGAUGCAGCGACGCCGCGUGAGUGAAGAAGUAUUUCGGUAUGUAAAGCUCUAUCAGCAGGGAAGAAAAUGACGGUACCUGAGUAAGAAGCCCCGGCUAACUACGUG